Molecule: ribosomal RNA, 1026 nt
Filed under: uncultured Burkholderia sp.
Lineage: Bacteria; Pseudomonadati; Pseudomonadota; Betaproteobacteria; Burkholderiales; Burkholderiaceae
Description: bacterial SSU rRNA
Rfam family: Bacterial small subunit ribosomal RNA
Source: RNAcentral
UCCUACGGGAGGCAGCAGUGGGGAAUUUUGGACAAUGGGCGAAAGCCUGAUCCAGCAAUGCCGCGUGUGUGAAGAAGGCCUUCGGGUUGUAAAGCACUUUUGUCCGGAAAGAAAUCCUUGGCUCUAAUACAGUCGGGGGAUGACGGUACCGGAAGAAUAAGCACCGGCUAACUACGUGCCAGCAGCCGCGGUAAUACGUAGGGUGCAAGCGUUAAUCGGAAUUACUGGGCGUAAAGCGUGCGCAGGCGGUCUGUUAAGACAGAUGUGAAAUCCCCGGGCUCAACCUGGGAACUGCAUUUGUGACUGGCAGGCUAGAGUAUGGCAGAGGGGGGUAGAAUUCCACGUGUAGCAGUGAAAUGCGUAGAGAUGUGGAGGAAUACCGAUGGCGAAGGCAGCCCCCUGGGCCAAUACUGACGCUCAUGCACGAAAGCGUGGGGAGCAAACAGGAUUAGAUACCCUGGUAGUCCACGCCCUAAACGAUGUCAACUAGUUGUUGGGGAUUCAUUUCCUUAGUAACGUAGCUAACGCGUGAAGUUGACCGCCUGGGGAGUACGGUCGCAAGAUUAAAACUCAAAGGAAUUGACGGGGACCCGCACAAGCGGUGGAUGAUGUGGAUUAAUUCGAUGCAACGCGAAAAACCUUACCUACCCUUGACAUGGUCGGAAUCCUGAAGAGAUUCGGGAGUGCUCGAAAGAGAACCGGCGCACAGGUGCUGCAUGGCUGUCGUCAGCUCGUGUCGUGAGAUGUUGGGUUAAGUCCCGCAACGAGCGCAACCCUUGUCCUUAGUUGCUACACAAGAGCACUCUAAGGAGACUGCCGGUGACAAACCGGAGGAAGGUGGGGAUGACGUCAAGUCCUCAUGGCCCUUAUGGGUAGGGCUUCACACGUCAUACAAUGGUCGGAACAGAGGGUUGCCAACCCGCGAGGGGGAGCUAAUCCCAGAAAACCGAUCGUAGUCCGGAUUGCACUCUGCAACUCGAGUGCAUGAAGCUGGAAUCGCUAGUAAUCGCGGAUCAGCAUGCCGCG